UAGGGAAUCUUCGGCAAUGGACGGAAGUCUGACCGAGCAACGCCGCGUGAGUGAAGAAGGUUUUCGGAUCGUAAAGCUCUGUUGUAAGAGAAGAACGAGUGUGAGAGUGGAAAGUUCACACUGUGACGGUAUCUUACCAGAAAGGGACGGCUAACUACGUGCCAGCAGCCGCGGUAAUACGUAGGUCCCGAGCGUUGUCCGGAUUUAUUGGGCGUAAAGCGAGCGCAGGCGGUUAGAUAAGUCUGAAGUUAAAGGCUGUGGCUUAACCAUAGUAGGCUUUGGAAACUGUUUAACUUGAGUGCAAGAGGGGAGAGUGGAAUUCCAUGUGUAGCGGUGAAAUGCGUAGAUAUAUGGAGGAACACCGGUGGCGAAAGCGGCUCUCUGGCUUGUAACUGACGCUGAGGCUCGAAAGCGUGGGGAGCAAACAGGAUUAGAUACCCUGGUAGUCCACGCCGUAACGAUGAGUGCUAGGUGUUAGACCCUUUCCGGGGUUUAGUGCCGUAGCUAACGCAUUAAGCACUCCGCCUGGGGAGUACGACCGCAAGGUU
This 548-nucleotide ribosomal RNA is filed under the name uncultured bacterium. RNAcentral's name for it is "bacterial SSU rRNA". It matches the Rfam family "Bacterial small subunit ribosomal RNA", at positions 355 to 895 of the family's 1533-position model. The record is from RNAcentral.